RNAcentral lists this unclassified non-coding RNA (1292 nucleotides) under Zea mays. RNAcentral's name for it is "misc RNA Zm00001eb024720". The record is from RNAcentral. Lineage: Eukaryota; Viridiplantae; Streptophyta; Magnoliopsida; Poales; Poaceae.
CUAUCCCGUCAUUGAUUUUUUUACCCCGCCGUCCUCGUCUCCUUCGUAUCUGAUCUCCUCCCCGUCUUCUUCAAACCGCUGGAUCCUUCUCUCUGUCACUUGCAGCGCUCACCGGUCGCUCUAGAGCUCCUGUGCGCUCAUCCCUCUGCUCGAGCCGUGCCCUGCUGAGCUCCCUCGCCAUGGCCGCGGUGCCCCUCCCUGCUCGCCAUGUCCCUGUUGCGAGCUCUUCCCUAGCGCUGGAUUUCUCUCCCUGCGCGCGCUCCUGUGCCCAUGCGGAGCUCCCAGCGUCGUGUCCCCUUCCCUCUGCUCGCUCGGCGCCCAUCUCCUCCGGCGCCCACACGAAGCUCCCUCCAGCUCGCCCGAGCUCCUUCCCUGCUUCCAUGGCCGCUGCGCACUUGUCCCUGCUCGCUUCUUCUCGCGCGCACAAGCUUCUUGCUUGCUCGACUUCCUUCCUCUCUCUUCCCAUGGCGCGCAUCCUUCUGCGCCCGGCCCCCAACGCCACCGGUCAUCUUCGGCUCGCCGAGCGUCCCUGUCCCUGCUCGCCGUUCCGAGCUUGGCCCCGCGGUGAGCUCGCCGCUGGCCUUCUCUGGUGCUCCCUGCUCGCCCCUAUCUCUGUCCUCUGCCUGGUCGCCAUCCCCAAGCUGCGCCCCUCUGCUCGGCUAUGGCCCCCGCACACCAUGCUGUCCGAAUCCCCGCUCCUGCUCUGGCUCAUCUGCGCCACCACCGCAUCACUUCUCUCCUAUGGCGCCCGGAUCUCCACUCCCCUUCCUCCCUGCCCUCUGCUCCAGCUUGCAGUCGCUGCGUCGCUCAGUCCCUGGCCACGUCUGUGUGGUUGUGUUCUUUCGUCGGAAUGCUCAAUUUGCCGUGGUCCUGCGCUCUCUGCUCGGUUCGGCGUGGGUUUUAGUUGUCGGUCAAACGCACCCCUGUUUCCUUUAUCUUGUCGUCGUCGUUCGGUCACCUCACCUCGACUUGUGUUCACACUGACAAAGGAAUCCCAAGAAGAUGUAAAGAAGCAAGCCCUGGUCGAUACCUCAAGUGCUCGGCGAAAGGCUAGAACAAGAAUCAUCAUCGUUUAUGCGGAGUUCUAGUUAAUAUGGAGAGAUUAUAAGAGUUGUGGAUGGAAGAGAAAGUGAAGCUCUGUUCUAUACUCGUCAGCUAUUUGAUUGAAGACUUCAAUCGAAGACUGUCGUCGUUCUCGCAAAUCUUGAAUCGAGUUGAUCACGAAGACGACCCCAAGUCGACCUAGGACGAUGCAGAGAUUGGACAUCUCCGCAAGACGACGUUGUCAGUCG